This 459-nucleotide ribosomal RNA is filed under the name uncultured bacterium. RNAcentral's name for it is "partial 16S ribosomal RNA". It matches the Rfam family "Bacterial small subunit ribosomal RNA", at positions 338 to 795 of the family's 1533-position model. The record is from RNAcentral.
CCUACGGGUGGCAGCAGUGAGGAAUAUUGGUCAAUGGGAGAGACCCUGAACCAGCCAAGCCGCGUGAGGGAAGACGGCCCUAUGGGUUGUAAACCUCUUUUGUCGGAGAACAAAACCCGGGACGUGUCCCGUACUGCGUGUAUCCGAAGAAAAAGCAUCGGCUCACUCCGUGCCAGCAGCCGCGGUAAUACGGGGGAUGCGAGCGUUAUCGGGUUUUAUUGGGUUUAAAGGGGGCGUAGGCGGUCUGUUAAGUGAGCGGUAAAAUUGCGGGGCUCACCCCCGUCCUGCCGUUGAAACUGGGUGGCUUGAGUGGGCGAGAGGUACGCGGAAUGCGCGGUGUAGCGGUGAAAUGCAUAGAUAUGACGAAGAACUCCGAUGGCGAAGGCAGCGUACCGGCGCCAGACUGACGCUGAGGCACGAAAGCGUGGGGAUCGAACAGGAUUAGAUACCCCUGUAGUC